RNAcentral lists this ribosomal RNA (268 nucleotides) under uncultured bacterium. RNAcentral's name for it is "partial 16S ribosomal RNA". It matches the Rfam family "Bacterial small subunit ribosomal RNA", at positions 524 to 777 of the family's 1533-position model. The record is from RNAcentral.
UACGAAGGGUGCAACGUUGCUCGGAAUUAUUGGGUACGUAAGCGCACGUAGGCGGCUUAGCAAGUCGGAAAGUGAAAGGCCCUCGGCCUCAACCAAGGAAGAUGCUUUCGAAACUGCUGAGCUUGAGUAGUUAAGAGGAUCGCGGAAUUCCCGGUGAUAGAGGUGAAAUUCGUAGACUAUCGGGAGGAACACCAGUGGCGAAGGCGGACGAUCUGGGAACAUACUGACGACUGAGGUGGCGAAAAGCGAUUGGGGAGACCAAACAGGG